GACGAACGCUGGCGGCGUGCUUAACACAUGCAAGUCGAACGGAAAGGCCCUGCUUGCAGGGUACUCGAGUGGCGAACGGGUGAGUAACACGUGGGGGAUCUGCCCUGCACUUCGGGAUAAGCUUGGGAAACUGGGUCUAAUACCGGAUAGGACCGCACUCUCGUGUGUGUGGUGGAACGUUUGUUCGGUUUGGGAUUAGCUCGCGGCCUAUCAGCUUGUUGGUGGGGUAAUGGCCUAGCAAGGCGGCGACGGGUAGCCGGCCUGAGAGGGUGUACGGCCAAAUUGGGAUUGGAAUACGGCCCAGCCUCGUACGGGAGGCGGAGUGGGAAAUAGUGCUCAAUGGGCGCAAGCCUGAUGCUGCGACAGCGCGUGGGGGAUGAAGGUCAAGGGGUUGUAGACGUAUUUCGCUAGUGACGAAGCUGUUUGUGACGGUACCUAGAUAAGAAGCACCGGCUAACUACGUG
RNAcentral lists this ribosomal RNA (464 nucleotides) under uncultured bacterium. RNAcentral's name for it is "partial 16S ribosomal RNA". It matches the Rfam family "Bacterial small subunit ribosomal RNA", at positions 28 to 507 of the family's 1533-position model. The record is from RNAcentral.